RNAcentral lists this non-coding RNA (26 nucleotides) under Homo sapiens (human). The record is from RNAcentral. Lineage: Eukaryota; Metazoa; Chordata; Mammalia; Primates; Hominidae.
UGUGAGAUGACUGGUAGCUUUAGGAC